This 1125-nucleotide long non-coding RNA is filed under the name Apteryx rowi (Okarito brown kiwi). RNAcentral describes it as "lncRNA (ENSARWG00000013368.1)". The record is from RNAcentral. Lineage: Eukaryota; Metazoa; Chordata; Aves; Apterygiformes; Apterygidae.
GUUAUUUAAAAAUUGGUAAGGAAAUGUUAUUAGUCAUCAAAACAUAUGCUUCGUGCACUACUGAAGUUGAAGUUACAGGGUAGAAUGACUGAAAAAGUUAUUAUAAAUUUGAAAGUCUAGUGUACAUUUCAGUAUGCUAAAAAUGUUUUUCUCAUACUGAUUUGCAAUUCUAGCCACUCCUUGCUGAUAAUUUUUGUAGGAAGUGGAGAAGAAAGCUCUAGUGCUGCCUAGUUUCCUGUAUCUCAUAAUUAAGUUUUCCAUAAAAGUGAAUUAAUACUUUUAAUGCCUUGUUACUUUUCCAUUUUUUCAUGCUUUUGUUCUGUGAAACAGGCUUCAGCUGAGGGUAAAAGGUCCUAGCUGCCAGAGAUCACCUGUGAAUUCCCCAGCUUGCCUUUUGAUUAGAAAGGCUGCUGAUUUGACAGCAUGAUGGUUAUUGAAGGCCCUGACAUUCCUGUCAUGGAUAACAUACGCCUCUGACACCUCAGGGUUAUAUAUGUCAAAGGCAGCUGACUGACCUGAUAAAAUCAACAUGAACUUGUGCUUGCUCAGAAACGCUGAGGUGAUCGUUCCCUGAUGUCACCAAUACACUACCUCUGCCGUAGCAAUGUGGUUAGACUAAGAAAAAGCAAAUACUGCACGUCUUGCCAUGAUGGCUCUCCCACUCCUUUCUCUGACAGGGUUUCAUGCAGUGUACAGGAGCUAUCAUCAUGGAAAAAAAUGUCCAAUGAACUGUGUUGCCUUUUCUGGCCUCAAGGCACAAUGUGUUAUGAAAGAAGACUAGAAAGGAAAAAUAAUAGGUGGUCAGAUCACGAAGUGAUCUUAGAGAAAGUUUUACCUGAGCAAGAAAAGCGAAUGUGGUCCACUUCAGUCGUGUGUCAUGAUGGCCAAUUCUCUAUGACAAAAGUUGUUUUUCCUUGGACUGGACUCUUGGAAAAGUUGAAACCUGCCAUGUUAUCUGAAGGUGGUAUUCUGGCAUGGACUCAAGUUAUAGUCAGCCUUAAGUAAGAACAGGCAAGAAACAUGCCCAGUCUUUCAGCUAAGUGACAGCCUACUGCAUCUUGCAGUUCUCAAGUUCCCUCUGUCCUUGUGGGUGUAACAAAAGCAUCUGCUCCUGCUCCUUCGUUG